GCAUUGGUGGUUCAGUGGUAGAACUCUCAACUUGCAUGCAGGAGACCUGGGUUCGAUUCCCGGCCAAUGCA
RNAcentral lists this transfer RNA (71 nucleotides) under Loxodonta africana (African savanna elephant). It matches the Rfam family "tRNA". Rfam says of the family: Transfer RNA (tRNA) molecules are approximately 80 nucleotides in length. Their secondary structure includes four short double-helical elements and three loops (D, anti-codon, and T loops). Lineage: Eukaryota; Metazoa; Chordata; Mammalia; Proboscidea; Elephantidae. The record is from Rfam by way of RNAcentral.